UACGGUCACAUCAUGCUGAAACACCGGUUCCUGUACGAUCCCCGAAGUUAAGUAACAUCGAGCCUCGUCAGUACCAAGAUGGGUGACAAUUAGAGAAGGCCAGG
Molecule: non-coding RNA, 104 nt
Organism: Acanthosepion pharaonis
Lineage: Eukaryota; Metazoa; Mollusca; Cephalopoda; Sepiida; Sepiidae
Source: the annotation of a GenBank genome assembly